UUUGAUAUUCCUGUGCAGCUGGGCUGCAGGAGUUCGGUUCCUAAAGGGAAGAAAUCACACUGAGAUUCCUCUGAGCUCCUGAAUCAGGGCUGUAGAAAGAGAUCAGCAGAGGUAUGGAAGAUUUGUCAACCACUUUUCAGCAGAUGGGAAGUGAUGCAUAGAGAUGAAGUGAUGUAGUAUUUCACGGAUACUCCAUCAGAGCAAGUACUGUGAAUCACUCUUACUAAGGUCUAGGUCCUGCUUUUUAUAAACUUAAGAGCUUACCAUUGCAUUAAGAAAUUAUCUUGGGGCACAGAUCUUCCACUGGUAAACUUGUCAUAGCUCCAGUGAAGUCAGUGGGGCCAAGGACCUGCCUGACUUUGCAAUCAAGCAAUCAAGCUUUUGAGUCUUUGGUUUCCGACAGCAAGAAAUCUCAGAGGCCUGUGCUGGUGCAUUUCCAAAGCAGAUCCCUGUUGAGCAAGGAAUUGUAGCAAGGGGUCUCUUUGCUUCUGUCAGCUACUGAAGAAGAAAAAGAUGAGGGUCUUUGAAAACAGUUUUACCUUUAUAUGUUGGGCAGCGACCCAUCCUGCUGGGUGUAGAGCUGAAACACAAUGCCUAGGAGGAGAUUGUGGAGAAUUUUAGCCAGCCAGUAGACCUUUUCUACCUCAAACUGGCAUCUGAGAAAAGGAAAGAGGAUUAAAACUAGACACAUCUACUCGGUGUGGCAAUGCAAACUUCUGGAGUGAUAGAAGGAGAGGUGGGGGGAAAACACUUAUUGCACCCCUGCUCUUUGAACUGCUGGUUUUCUCAAAGGAGAUAAUGAAGAAACUUUCCUAUAUUCUAAGGAACGCAAAGGAUAGGGUUAAUUCCAUUCACGAGGAAUUGGGAGUAUCCACACACUCAAGACAGCCAGCUGAACCAGUCAAUGGGAUAUUCCAUACCAUACAAGAUGAUGCCUGCUAUAUAAGAGGACAACUGGCCUGGGCAGGCAAGAGACCUUCAGAACAGAGAAGCCAAAAUCUCAUCGGCAGUAAGAAGAAUCAUGCAUCAUAACUGGUCUGAUGAGGUUCCUGGGAAAUCCUUAUGGAAAGAGGUUAUUUCAGUAGUCUACUAACAGUACCCUGAAAUAAUGUAGCAUGUGCACGACAGUGCCAGCCAGCAAGAAAGAAGAGAACCUGUCUACAGAGCCAAAAGAGCAAACUACAACCCACCAUCCCACUCAUUAGACAUCUAGGAAAUGUCUUCUACGUCCUUACAGAAGAAAAUCUGGAAUAUGUUUUGAGAUGAACGCAGAAUCUUGCUAAUCCAAAGGAAGACAUGCAGGGCAUGGCAAAAGACCGAAGAUUUGAUGUGGUAAAUUAUCAUCUAAGUGCAAGUAUCUAGAGCUGGUACUGAAAGAAUGGGAACAGACACAAAAACUUCAACAGGGAGCAUAGCAUUUCCUCAGAAAACAAACUGCCCUGUGAAGGAAGGGGAAGCUUUGAGAAGGAAAAGUUCAAAAUGGAAGAAAGAAUGUGGAAUUAAAAACAAAGGUGAAAGAUAGGAGGAGAAAUUCUUAAUAUGUGUUAUAAGUACUGGAAAAGUACAGGAAGUUUGAAGAGUUAAAUGGAGAGUAAAAGAAUUCAGGACGCAAGAAGUGUGUUGUUUCAUUUAUGUGAACUACUUCUGCCUUCUCCUUUUGAAAUUUUCAUAGAUUUCACAAAGGAUUUAUUUAUGGUCAACAGAGAUGAAUAUUCAUCAAGAAGCAAGGAGAAGUUCUUCUGAGAUAAGGAAAUAUGACUAAUCCUCUUGAUUGCCCUAAUAGACAGUCCUGAAGCUCUGUGCCAAAAAGAUUUCUAAUGGUUACUGCUUGUCCUUGGCCUGUUCCUUACUGCCUCAAAACACUUGGUGACCAAGAAGGCCUUUGAACUUCACAGCGUUUAUGCAACACAGAACUGUAAAAAUAUCAAGACUACCAACUACAGAGAUAUUUUUACUGUCUCUGCAGGAUUCAAGGAUGCCAAGAGAAGGUAGCAGAUACAUGGUGCUGAGUUAGGAACCAGUUUUGCACUGGUUGAAAAGCUUGUUGAACUUGUAUGAUGCAGAGGAUACAGGUGAAGUGGGUUGUGCCAUCUGCUUGGAAAGAAAAGGCAAGGGAGAAUUUUAACAGCUGUUUGUUGACUCAGUCAUCUCUGAUUGUUUGUGCCACAGCAGCAGAUUACUGCCAAAGAAAUGCAUCCCCUGUUGCUUAAUAGACCUGACCUGGAUGUUGUAAAGUUACACCUGCUGGAAACAAGCCUUAUGAUGUACUGUUCAUACAAUGCUGGUGAUUCUACUAGAGAAAUAUCCUGAAAUCAGCAUGUUGAUUUUAUUCUUGUUUCCCUUUGUAGUAGUAGCAUAUAGCAGGAGGCAGGAGAUAUAUCCCUGCUAGUUCUGCAAGGUGAAUAGGGCCUGAGCAUGAUGCUCCAUAUUAUAUUCAGAUUUUCCCUGAGUAUGCUCAGUUUUGUUGGGUAUGACAUACUGCAUGUGAGUCACUCAUAUUCUGCAUGAGUCAUAUGUUGAAGUGUGAAAGCAAUGCUGUAUCUCUGCCGUUGUUACCCGUUGCUCAGCUGCUGCCAUACCACGUAGCUCAAGCCAAUUGAGCUCACCUUCCCAGUUUGAGCCAGCUCUCAUCAUCUGCCUGAGUCCUUAUAAUGCCAUUCAAGGUGUUGCCUAAUAUAUAGCUAAAGUGAAUGCAAUAUGUGUUUGAGUUUGGGCUUUGAGUUACUAGUCUCUGGAAUACAACUUCCAAACAUUCUUCUAAAAAGAUUGUAAACUAUCCAGAAAAAGGUAGCUACCUUUAAAACGUAUUUCAAAAAGGAAAAUAAGUAAAGUAGGUUUAUAAUACACACACCUGUAGCACUAGAUGAAUUUUCCUUCCUCAAACAUCUGACAUUGUAAGUCUGCAAUGUUGUUCUGUGUCUAGUGGAUCCUUUAAAGAUCAGGUGGCCUGAGAAGUUUGAGAAACUCUAGUGCAGUCAUACCCUGGAGUUCCUUUGCUAAAGAUGGCACAUCCAUUGUGGACUAAAUGAGAUGAGAGUUGUUUUAUUUAGCAAUAA
Pogoniulus pusillus (Red-fronted tinkerbird) is the source of this 3056-nucleotide long non-coding RNA. RefSeq lists it as uncharacterized. NCBI's taxonomy places the organism in Eukaryota, Metazoa, Chordata, Aves, Piciformes, Lybiidae. The transcript is spliced from 9 exons. The record is from RefSeq and is a predicted model, not a curated record.